CAGCAGCCACGGUAAUACAGAGGGUGCAAGCGUUAAUCGGAAUUACUGGGCAUAAAGCGCGCGUAGGUGGUUCGCCAAGUUGGAUGUGAAAUCCCCGGGCUCAACCUGGGAACUGCAUCCAAAACUGGCGAGCUAGAGUAUGGUAGAGGGUGGUGGAAUUUCCUGUGUAGCGGUGAAAUGCGUAGAUAUAGGAAGGAACAUCAGUGGCGAAGGCGACCACCUUGACUGAUACUGACACUGAGGUGCGAAAGCGUGGGGAGCAAACAGGAUUAGAUACCCCCGUAGUCCCUGUCUCUUAUAC
Molecule: ribosomal RNA, 301 nt
Filed under: uncultured bacterium
Lineage: Bacteria
Description: partial 16S ribosomal RNA
Rfam family: Bacterial small subunit ribosomal RNA
Source: RNAcentral